CAGCAGCCGCGGUAAUACGGAAGGUCCAGGCGUUAUCCGGAUUUAUUGGGUUUAAAGGGAGCGUAGGCGGACGAUUAAGUCAGCUGUGAAAGUUUGCGGCUCAACCGUAAAAUUGCAGUUGAAACUGGUUGUCUUGAGUGCACGCAGGGAUGUUGGAAUUCAUGGUGUAGCGGUGAAAUGCUUAGAUAUCAUGAAGAACUCCGAUCGCGAAGGCAUAUGUCUGGAGUGCAACUGACGCUGAGGCUCGAAAGUGCGGGUAUCGAACAGGAUUAGAUACCCUGGUAGUCCGCACAGUAAACGAUGAAUACUCGCAGUGUGCGAUAUACUGUAUGCUGCCAAGUGAAAACGUUAAGUAUUCCACCUGGGGAGUACGCCGGCAACGGUGAAACUCAAAGGAAUUGACGGGGGCCCGCACAAGCGGAGGAACAUGUGGUUUAAUUCGAUGAUACGCGAGGAACCUUACCCGGGCUUGAACUAAGCAGGAAGAUGGGCAGAGACGCCUGUUGUCUUCGGACCUGCUUGGAGGUGCUGCAUGGUUGUCGUCAGCUCGUGCCGUGAGGUGUCGGCUUAAGUGCCAUAACGAGCGCAACCCUUCUCCACGUUUGCCAUCAGGUUAUGCUGGGCACUCCGUGGAUACUGCCAUCGUAAGAUGUGAGGAAGGUGGGGAUGACGUCAAAUCAGCACGGCCCUUACGUCCAGGGCUACACACGUGUUACAAUGGCCGGUACAGAGGGAAGCCACCAGGCGACUGGGCGCUGAUCCAUGAAAACCGGUCUCAGUUCGGACUGGAGUCUGCAACCCGACUCCACGAAGCUGGAUUCGCUAGUAAUCGCGCAUCAGCCAUGGCGCGGUGAAUACGUUCCCGGGCCUUGUACACACCGCCCGUCAAGCCAUGAAAGCCGGGGGUGCCUGAAAGCUGUGACCGUAAGGGGCGGCCUAGGGUAAAACCGGUGAUUGGGGCUAAGUCGUAACAAGGUAGCCGU
RNAcentral lists this ribosomal RNA (983 nucleotides) under uncultured Prevotella sp. Its description in RNAcentral is "bacterial SSU rRNA". It matches the Rfam family "Bacterial small subunit ribosomal RNA", at positions 509 to 1503 of the family's 1533-position model. Lineage: Bacteria; Pseudomonadati; Bacteroidota; Bacteroidia; Bacteroidales; Prevotellaceae. The record is from RNAcentral.